This 465-nucleotide ribosomal RNA is filed under the name Vreelandella stevensii. RNAcentral describes it as "partial 16S ribosomal RNA". It matches the Rfam family "Bacterial small subunit ribosomal RNA", at positions 338 to 795 of the family's 1533-position model. The record is from RNAcentral. Lineage: Bacteria; Pseudomonadati; Pseudomonadota; Gammaproteobacteria; Oceanospirillales; Halomonadaceae.
CCUACGGGGGGCUGCAGUGGGGAAUAUUGGACAAUGGGGGGAAUCCUGAUCCAGCCAUGCCGCGUGUGUGAAGAAGGCCCUCGGGUUGUAAAGCACUUUCAGUGAGGAAGAACGCCUGGUGGUUAAUACCCAUCAGGAAAGACAUCACUCACAGAAGAAGCACCGGCUAACUCCGUGCCAGCAGCCGCGGUAAUACGGAGGGUGCGAGCGUUAAUCGGAAUUACUGGGCGUAAAGCGCGCGUAGGUGGCUUGAUAAGCCGGUUGUGAAAGCCCCGGGCUCAACCUGGGAACGGCAUCCGGAACUGUCAAGCUAGAGUGCAGGAGAGGAAGGUAGAAUUCCCGGUGUAGCGGUGAAAUGCGUAGAGAUCGGGAGGAAUACCAGUGGCGAAGGCGGCCUUCUGGACUGACACUGACACUGAGGUGCGAAAGCGUGGGUAGCAAACAGGAUUAGAUACCCCUGUAGUC